UUUUUCUGAAAAGUCUCUCUUUUCUCUUCUCUCUUUCUUCCUCUGUGAUUUCUCCAUCCCCCCUCUCGGUCCGACAAGAACACACACACACACACCCAUGCCCACACCUAUAACUCUUUUCUAACCCCGUGGUUGUGUUUUAGACGUCAAACCAUGAAGAAACGACCUCGGAGACAUUUCCCUAGUUUUCCAGCUAGCACCGCCCCUUUCGAGGCAAUUUCCGGCCAAACCACGGCGAUUUGGCCGGCGUGCAAGUUUUCCGGCGAGCACCGCUCCUUUCGAGGCAAUUUACGGCCAAACCACGGCGAGUUGGCCGGAGUUCAAGUUUCCGGCGACCUCAGUAACUUUCCAGGUGUUUUCCAGCCAAAACACGGCGAGUUAGACGUCAUGUGAGGGACGAUUAUCUGUGGCGUUUCCUUCUUCGCUAAAUGGCGUGGCUUUUCAACGGCGAAGACUUAGAAUCGAGGCAUACAAUUCCGACAUCCAGGCACUUCCGCAUCGACAUCUUCGAGUCAUUUCGGUUUUUUACACUCAAUAAAUGGCUUUCGUCACCCUCGGGUGUCAGCCAACACGUACCUAUCCUGGUAUUCGGGGAAUAUCGAGGUCGGGGCGUGUCAGGUACCAUUCCUUAUAAACCAUAGAUGGCUCUCCUCCUUAGCUGAUGUGGGACAAAGUGUGGCUCUAAUUUAAGCCACCAAAUUCUAACAAUCUCCAACUUAGCAUGAUUCGAUCCAUUGACAAAUUGACGUCUCAAGAUCCAAAUUCAAAUACAGCUCCACCUUGACCAAAUGGAACCAAAUUCCAAAUAAGCUCUUCAACUUCAAAUAUCGCGAGCUUCACCAGUCCCAAGCGUUGCCUGGGCUCUCCACCAAUCCCAAGCAUUGCUUGGGCUCUAAUACCACUCGUUGUACUUUUAUGCGCAAGCGGAAGUGAAUUUUAAUAAAGCGGCAAAUAUCAAUGUCGUAUGUGAAUGCUAAAACAAUCUCAAAAGAACAUAAAAGAUUUAUAUGGUUAGGUGCAAAGCCUACGUCCAUAGGCGAAACACGGCAAGGAAUUUCACUAAACAAACGAAGAUUACAAAAGAAUGUUUAAACUCUCACAACCCAAAUCCCACAAAUUACAAACUCUAAACCAAAUGAGUAGAGAACCCAAAACAAACGGAGAAGAUUCUUCCAAAUUGCUCUCUAACUCUGAAAUUGAUUGUCACCUAAUUGCCAAAACGAACGAGCCAUGAUUUUGCCACACACUCAUGACUCCAAAAUGGUGAACUCCACCCAAAACACAAUGAGAGAAACCUCUCUAAGCUAAUGGUGUUGGCACACAAAUCCUAACUAGAGAAUGUUAAUCCUAACCAGAAGUAAUUCCAAAUCCUAAUCAAAUAGGUAAUUAACAAUGAGAAUGUUAAUCCUAACAAUGAGAAUGUAAAUCCUAAUCAAAUAGGUAAUUAACAAUGAGAUUUAUAGUGCAUAUGACUUAGGUUACAAUGAGAGUGUUAAUCAUAACUAGAAGAUAUUCCGAAUCCUAAUCAAAUAGGUAAUUAACAAAAUCUCUCCAUCAAUCAAAAAAACCAACCAAGAAGUCGAAUCCAAACUCAAAUAAGACACCAAACGAAAUUGGUAACAUAUACCUAAUUUAUGCAUCAUCCUAAUUUUGAGCUGUAAAUCCCAACAAUGUCAAUAUCCUUCAUAACUAUGUUUUAUUUUGCAUGCCAUGAAGAGAAAUGCUAAGGAGACUCUUAAAAGUGAGACUUCCCAUGGACUCUCGCUAUCUCAUAGUUUUUGCACAAUAUUUUAUAAUGUUAGCACAGAAAUUGACGUUAAACUGUGAGAUGGUAUAAAGUCCAUGGAAAAUCUCACUUUGAGAGAAUCUCGUUAGCAUUUCUCUUACCAAGAAAUAUCUGACUAUACAUUCUUGAUUAUCCAACUAUUUGAGAAAAUUAUUAUCUUCUUCAAAUCCGUCUAAGACCUUUAUUUAUUAACAUUUCAAUUACUAUUAUAUCAAGCCCAUCUUUAUUAGAAUUAGGUUUUUGAGGUAAAUUUGCAUUUUCAAUGUUCUUUAGAACUACUAGCUAGUUAACGUCUAAUUAACUAGGUGCACCUCAUGAACCUUGUUCUUUUCUCUCUUGUUGAAAAAACAUCUCUAAGUUUUUUUUUGUUUUUUUUAUAGUGUCUUACCUUGAAUUUGUAUCUCAACCAUCCAAAUCUUUGAAAUACAAUUGGAUUUUACUUUUCUUUUUUAAUUUUUUAAAGAAAUCACUUUAUAAUAUUUGCUUCUUACCUUUUAGGGGUUAAAAUUAAGCUGUUAUAUCCAUAUUCUUGAAGUCUACUUAUACUUAUAGUAUGUUUGGAUGAAGAAAUUUAAGAUUACUAAGGAAUUUCAAAAUGAUGGAAAUUAAAAUGACAGGAUUUUAUUUUAUAGAAUUUGUGAAUUUUCUUGUUUGGU
Molecule: long non-coding RNA, 2442 nt
Organism: Pyrus x bretschneideri (Chinese white pear)
Lineage: Eukaryota; Viridiplantae; Streptophyta; Magnoliopsida; Rosales; Rosaceae
Exons: 6
Source: RefSeq, a predicted model, not a curated record